Daphnia magna is the source of this 253-nucleotide long non-coding RNA. RefSeq lists it as uncharacterized. The transcript has 2 exons. NCBI's taxonomy places the organism in Eukaryota, Metazoa, Arthropoda, Branchiopoda, Diplostraca, Daphniidae. The record is from RefSeq and is a predicted model, not a curated record.
GCCACCAUACGAGUUGAUGUUGCCCUGCAUUUAAAAAAAAACGAACGUUCAACAGUGACAAUUCCUAACUACGACGUCAAAUUUGGACGCACCUCGGGGCUAAAUCACAACCCUGUUGCAUCAGAGAGCCGAUCGUAAACCAGUGGAAAAUGUGACAUUUGUUAUUUUGCCUGGCGAGAAUGAAGAGAGCCAAGGAAAUUCCAACGUAAGCUGCACACAUGUAGAUCCAGACCUCGACGGACAAUGGUGACAA